CAAAGCCCUUUAGGAAGGACAAUAGAGAUAGCAUUUGUAAAUUAACUGAAAAGAACCUUGAAUUAGAGCUUUUACGAACCUCAAGCUCAUGUGUGAAAAUAGAAGGAAAUAAUUGCUUUGGACAAGGGACAUCUUGAGCAGUCAUCCGGCCCAUCCCUUCGGAUUAUGCAAGCCAGACAGUAAGAGGAUACGAUCAAUGAGGACACCUGCCAAUGACUUCAAGGCAAGGACAGUGCUUGAUAUAAAAUAUGACUCAACAAAUGUUUGUGGAGGGAAUGAAUUAACGGGCCACGUCAACUCAUCUAUUCCCAUCAGAGGAUGGUCCAAAGGACCUGGACCGUAUGGAUAUUCCGCAGAAAAUCAUAUUGGUCCAAUAUAUUGAUGACGUCAUAUUAAUUAGAAAGAAUGAUCAAGAAGUAGCAAGUACGUUGGAGAUCUUGGUGAGACACAUGCAUUCCAGGGGUUGGAGAGAAACCCAAAGAAGACUUGGAGAUCUGCCAUAUCAGUGAAGAUUUUUGAGAUGCA
Molecule: long non-coding RNA, 525 nt
Organism: Equus quagga
Lineage: Eukaryota; Metazoa; Chordata; Mammalia; Perissodactyla; Equidae
Exons: 3
Source: RefSeq, a predicted model, not a curated record